RNAcentral lists this ribosomal RNA (523 nucleotides) under uncultured bacterium. RNAcentral describes it as "partial 16S ribosomal RNA". It matches the Rfam family "Bacterial small subunit ribosomal RNA", at positions 28 to 523 of the family's 1533-position model. The record is from RNAcentral.
GACGAACGCUGGCGGCGUGCCUAAUACAUGCAAGUCGAACGCUUUUUCUUUCACCGGAGCUUGCUCCACCGAAAGAAAAAGAGUGGCGAACGGGUGAGUAACACGUGGGUAACCUGCCCAUCAGAAGGGGUUAACACUUGGAAACAGGUGCUAAUACCGUAUAACACUAUUUUGCGCAUGGAAGAAAGUUGAAAGGCGCUUUUGCGUCACUGAUGGAUGGACCCGCGGUGCAUUAGCUAGUUGGUGAGGUAACGGCUCACCAAGGCAACGAUGCAUAGCCGACCUGAGAGGGUGAUCGGCCACACUGGGACUGAGACACGGCCCAGACUCCUACGGGAGGUAGCAGUAGGGAAUCUUCGGCAAUGGACGAAAGUCUGACCGAGCAACGCCGCGUGAGUGAAGAAGGUUUUCGGAUCGUAAAACUCUGUUGUUAGAGAAGAACAAGGAUGAGAGUAAAACGUUCAUCCCUUGACGGUAUCUAACCAGAAAGCCACGGCUAACUACGUGCCAGCCGCCGCGGUAA